CGGCGGAGAUAUACGGCCCCGAUGAAAACGGUUGCCGCCCCCGCCAGAGGACCCUUAACUCUGUUUCUUAUAGUGUAUCUUCCUGAGUAAAACAAGCAAAUAAAUUAAAACUUUCAACAACGGAUCUCUUGGCUCUGGCAUCGAUGAAGAACGCAGCGAAAUGCGAUAAGUAAUUGUGAAUUGCAGAAUUCAGUGAAUCAUCGAAUCUUUGAACGCACAUUGCGCCCGCCAGUAUUCUGGCGGGCAUGCCUGUUCGAGCGUCAUUACAAUCCCUCAGGCCCCCGGGGCCUGGCGUUGGGGAUC
RNAcentral lists this unclassified non-coding RNA (303 nucleotides) under Fusarium solani. RNAcentral's name for it is "partial contains ITS1 and 5.8S rRNA". The stretch from base 109 to 263 matches the Rfam family "5.8S ribosomal RNA". From Rfam's summary of the family: 5.8S ribosomal RNA (5.8S rRNA) is a component of the large subunit of the eukaryotic ribosome. It is transcribed by RNA polymerase I as part of the 45S precursor that also contains 18S and 28S rRNA. The record is from RNAcentral. Lineage: Eukaryota; Fungi; Ascomycota; Sordariomycetes; Hypocreales; Nectriaceae.